RNAcentral lists this ribosomal RNA (320 nucleotides) under uncultured eukaryote. RNAcentral describes it as "partial 18S ribosomal RNA". It matches the Rfam family "Eukaryotic small subunit ribosomal RNA", at positions 1470 to 1796 of the family's 1831-position model. The record is from RNAcentral.
CCCCUAGAUGUUCUGGGCCGCACGCGCGCUACACUGAACAGUUCAACAAGUCUUAACCUUGGCCGAUAGGUCUGGGUAAUCUUUGAACGCUGUUCGUGAUUGGGAUAGACUUUUGCAAUUAUGGGUCUUCAACGAGGAAUUCCUAGUAAACGCAAGUCAUCAGCUUGCAUUGAUUACGUCCCUGCCCUUUGUACACACCGCCCGUCGCACCUACCGAUUGAAUGGUCCGGUGAAAUCUCGGGACGGCGGCUUGGUCGCUUGCGUCCGACUGCUGAAACUUGAUUAAACCAUAUCAUUUAGAGGAAGGUGAAGUCGUAACA